AUGAAAAUCAUCAGUUGGAACUGCCGGGGCCUCGGGAAUGGCCCGGCAGUUCGGUCUCUUCUCGAACUGGGAAGAGUGGAGGAUCCCGAUGUUCUUUUCUUAUGUGAGACAAGGAUGAAGGAGAAGCAUUUGGGGAGGUUUCAGUGGUCGUUGGGGCUCGCCAACAUGUUAGCGUGGAAGGAUGAGAGCAGUGGAAGGGGAAUAGCUUUGUUCUGGCGAAGAGGAUUGGAC
Molecule: ribosomal RNA, 231 nt
Filed under: Triticum aestivum (bread wheat)
Lineage: Eukaryota; Viridiplantae; Streptophyta; Magnoliopsida; Poales; Poaceae
Description: partial small subunit ribosomal RNA
Source: RNAcentral